GGGGCAUCGAGUGAGGUCUCUGGGUCACCUCCCACCCGUGUUUAUUUUACCUUGUUGCUUCGGCGGGCCCGCCUUAACUGGCCGCCGGGGGGCUUACGCCCCCGGGCCCGCGCCCGCCGAAGACACCCUCGAACUCUGUCUGAAGAUUGUAGUCUGAGUGAAAAUAUAAAUUAUUUAAAACUUUCAACAACGGAUCUCUUGGUUCCGGCAUCGAUGAAGAACGCAGCGAAAUGCGAUACGUAAUGUGAAUUGCAAAUUCAGUGAAUCAUCGAGUCUUUGAACGCACAUUGCGCCCCCUGGUAUUCCGGGGGGCAUGCCUGUCCGAGCGUCAUUGCUGCCCUCAAGCACGGCUUGUGUGUUGGGCCCCGUCCUCCGAUCCCGGGGGACGGGCCCGAAAGGCAGCGGCGGCACCGCGUCCGGUCCUCGAGCGUAUGGGGCUUUGUCACCCGCUCUGUAGGCCCGGCCGGCGCUUGCCGAUCAACCCAAAUUUUUAUCCAGGUUGACCUCGGAUCAGGUAGGGAUACCCGCUGAACUUAAGCAUAUCAAAAGGCGGGAGGAA
RNAcentral lists this ribosomal RNA (559 nucleotides) under uncultured Penicillium. Its description in RNAcentral is "eukaryotic LSU rRNA". The stretch from base 179 to 331 matches the Rfam family "5.8S ribosomal RNA". The record is from RNAcentral. Lineage: Eukaryota; Fungi; Ascomycota; Eurotiomycetes; Eurotiales; Aspergillaceae.